Molecule: ribosomal RNA, 788 nt
Filed under: uncultured bacterium
Lineage: Bacteria
Description: bacterial SSU rRNA
Rfam family: Bacterial small subunit ribosomal RNA
Source: RNAcentral
AGAGUUUGAUCCUGGCUCAGGAUGAACGCUAGCGGGAGGCUUAACACAUGCAAGUCGAGGGGCAACAUUAGGUAGCAAUACUAGAUGGCGACCGGCGCACGGGUGAGUAACGCGUAUGCAACUGCCCUGUACCGGAGGAUAACCCGGAGAAUUCGGACUAAUACUCCAUGACGAUAUUGAGGCAUCUUCAGAUAUUUAAAGUUACGGUGGUACGGGAUGGGCAUGCGUAACAUAGCUAGUUGGGAGGGUAACGGCCUACCAAGGCAUCGAUGUUUAGGGGACCUGAGAGGGUGAACCCCCACACUGGUACUGAGACACGGACCAGACUCCUACGGGAGGCAGCAGUGAGGAAUAUUGGUCAAUGGGCGAAAGCCUGAACCAGCCAUCCCGCGUGAAGGAAGAAGGCGCUAUGCGUUGUAAACUUUUUUUCCAGGGGAAGAAAACCUCUGAUGUAUCGGAGCUUGCCGGUACCCUGGGAAUAAGCAUCGGCUAACUCCGUGCCAGCAGCCGCGGUAAUACGGAGGAUGCGAGCGUUAUCCGGAUUUAUUGGGUUUAAAGGGUGCGUAGGCGGGACAAUAAGUCAGUGGUGAAACCCUGCAGCUUAACUGUAGACUUGCCGUUGAUACUGUUGUUCUUGAGUAUGGUCAAGGCAGGCGGAAUGUGUAAUGUAGCGGUGAAAUGCUUAGAUAUUACACAGAACACCGAUUGCGAAGGCAGCUUGCUGGGCCGUUACUGACGCUGAUGCACGAAAGCGUGGGGAUCGAACAGGAUUAGAUACCCUGGUAGUC